UUGAAAGGGAAACGAUUGAAGUNAGUNGUACCGACGGAAAUCAGCUUUCGAAUGUGAUUUGUGGGGUAUGAGAUCUNAUUGUUUGCAAUAUGUAUGUUUCUUUGGUGUACUUUUUCUAUGGUAGGUCAACGUCGGUUUUGAUCGCCAUAAAAUGAUCGGAGGAAUGUAGCUUCGGCUUCGGUUGAAGUGUUUUAUAGCCUUUGGUAAAUGUGGUGAUUAAGACCAGGAUUGAAGAAUACCUUUUAGGUAUCCUUGNNUUGAAAGUUACUUAGGUGNNAAAGCUUGUUUGUCNUUUAAGUUGANGGUNAAUAGGUUAGAACGUGAUACAUUCGUUAAGGAUGUUGACGUA
Molecule: ribosomal RNA, 349 nt
Filed under: uncultured Glomeromycotina
Lineage: Eukaryota; Fungi; Glomeromycota
Description: partial large subunit ribosomal RNA
Source: RNAcentral